Molecule: ribosomal RNA, 301 nt
Filed under: uncultured bacterium
Lineage: Bacteria
Description: partial 16S ribosomal RNA
Rfam family: Bacterial small subunit ribosomal RNA
Source: RNAcentral
CAGCAGCCACGGGAAUACGUAGGGUGCGAGCGUUAAUCGGAAUUACUGGGCGUAAAGCGUGCGCAGGCGGUUUUGUAAGACAGAGGUGAAAUCCCCGGGCUCAACCUGGGAACUGCCUUUGUGACUGCAAGGCUAGAGUACGGCAGAGGGGGAUGGAAUUCCGCGUGUAGCAGUGAAAUGCGUAGAUAUGCGGAGGAACACCGAUGGCGAAGGCAAUCCCCUGGGCCUGUACUGACGCUCAUGCACGAAAGCGUGGGGAGCAAACAGGAUUAGAUACCCCAGUAGUCCCUGUCUCUUAUAC